RNAcentral lists this long non-coding RNA (1159 nucleotides) under Homo sapiens (human). Its description in RNAcentral is "non-protein coding lnc-STC2-1:5". Lineage: Eukaryota; Metazoa; Chordata; Mammalia; Primates; Hominidae. The record is from RNAcentral.
CCUGAUUUCUCAGACCGGCUCAAGCCCCACCUACUCCAGGAAGCCCUCCUGGCCCCCUUAUCUGAUAGCCUGUAGUAGCUACUGUCUAGCUCACAACUCGAAACCUCUGAUCAUGUUCUGUAGAGUACACCCGCUCAACUGAUCCAAUGCAACCAAUACAGUAUUGGAAGCUUUCUACGAACAAGGCACCCAGAGAGGGCUCGGAGGAAGAUGACAGUGCCAACGGGCACAGGGAGAAUCGUGAGCUUACUGCACCUUCCCAGCAGGCAGAGUGAGCCCGUAGGACAAGAGCCCCCUUUCUCCGUUUCCCAUCUGCCCUGCAGCCCCGAGGAACGGUCCAUUCUACAGACAAGAGGCCUGACGCUCAGAAGCAAAGCAACUUGCCACAAUCGCAUCACCGGCGAAAGUACCUUCAAGACAGUCCUGGACGCGGUGGCUUCACGCCUGUAAUACCAGCACUUUGGGAGGCCAAGGCAAGAGGAUCACUGGAUCACUUGAGCCCAGAAGUUUGAGACUAGCCUGGACAACAUAGUGAAACCCCUGUCUUUACAAAAAUUGAUUAAUUAAUUAAUUGUUUAAAAGAGACUAUUCCUCAUUCUUUUGACAUCAUUUUAAAUGAGAAUGCAGAAUAUGACAUUGUACAUACUGAUAUUUGAUUCCUUUUAUAUAACCUUUCAUGUAUUAAAAAACUGCACUGAAAAUCUAGAAUUAAGUUAAAAUUGGUGUGGGUUAUUUGUGAAUGGUGGGAUUUUUUAAAUGUAUUCCAACACCCAUAUAUUCCAACUUUUCCACACUUCCAAAGUCUGGAAUACUUUGAGGAUGGGGAGGAAAGAUAUGUUUACGGUCCUUGGGAAACUGAAAAGCAUUUCCUGUGAUGUCCCAGGGAGCUGGGGCACAGGAGCCAGCCUUGAAGUGGAAACCCCAGGCCAUCCACUCACAAUCUGAGUAUCCUUGGGUGAGUGAUCUCUCUAACCUCCCAUCGAGUCCCCUGUAAACUAGAAAUAAUUAUAGCUGCCCACAUCACUGUCUUACUAUAAGAGUAAAAUGAGAUAAUGUAUUUUAAAACAUUGGUAUAGUGUGAGUAUUCAAUAAAUAUUCUUUGAGUGAAUUUAGUGCAUUGUUUUGUUUUGUUUUUUUGAGAUGGAGUCUCACUCUCACC